This 278-nucleotide long non-coding RNA is filed under the name Hordeum vulgare. RNAcentral's name for it is "long non-coding RNA (HVUL_LNC013048)". The record is from RNAcentral. Lineage: Eukaryota; Viridiplantae; Streptophyta; Magnoliopsida; Poales; Poaceae.
UUGGCUAGUUUAACCAUGCCAUGCGUGGGCGAUCCUGCGUGCGCGUAAACAAUUGUCUUAGUGGAAGGCGGUCUUAAAUAAGAGAUCACAUGUAGGCAUGCGAGAUCUGGUUGAUUGAUUCUAACUGCAUAUGGGUGCAGUGCAUAUAUAUUAUGGUUGUUAAUACAUAGAUGGCCCGGUGGUGUUGGUGGUUAAAUAAUACUAAGAUGUACUAUGUCGAUAGGCGAUCAACAGACAGAUCGGCGUGGGUGACAGGCGGACCGACACCGGAGGCAGGC